UAUGUUUAAUUUCAGAGUAAUGUGUCUAUA
Molecule: non-coding RNA, 30 nt
Filed under: Rattus norvegicus (Norway rat)
Lineage: Eukaryota; Metazoa; Chordata; Mammalia; Rodentia; Muridae
Source: RNAcentral